UUAGGUCAAAGCAUGUCACAACAACGAAUUCACCAAUUUCUUUAACUUAUAUUUCCAGGUAAAAACUCCAUUAGUAUCAAUACUUCUGUUCUUCUGGCUCUUUAAGACAAUCGUUCUUCAAAUAACCCUAAGUCUUCACUUAGAAGCAUUUUAUGAAGCUGUGAAACAUGCACAGGAUUGCUGCUCCAAGAUAUUAGCAACAAACAAUACAGCUGAGGACAUAAAGCUAUGUAAGAACGUCCAGCGUUUACACAACGCUUCCUAUACGAAGAUGCAUGCCUGUGGUCUGUUCUGUGUGGACAUCUGCCAGCCGCUGAGGCUGCUGGCCUUAAUCACCAACUACACUGUGGUGAUGUUGCAGUUCGCGUUUCUGUAGUCCUGGUUUCACCAAAUUCCCAUAACCAACCAGUAAACUGUGUUGGUUAUGGGAAUUUGGUUUUAUUUCCCUUUAUUGGGCUGGUUUUCUGGCCAAUGUUGAUGUUAAUAAAGAUAGCAGAAAAAAGAGUGGUUGUGAUGAAAAUAUGUGAGAAGAUACCCAUGACAUUGGAUCGAAUUUUGAGAUUCCUACAAAGGUUCUGUAAUUCUGCAUACGAUGAAAAUAAUAUGAACAAUGAUUUUGUAAUAAAUAAUUAUAAUUUAAUAACAACAUAUUUUAACAACAAUAUAUAAUUAAUCAGUACAGUCGAGGCUUUGGUCAUUGUCAUUUUUCCCCCAACACUUUUGAUCACGAACCUUUUCUUUAAAGCCGGAUGAGUUGACCAAAGAAAAAUAAUAAUAAUAUUAAUGCGGACAACUUAUCCUGCGGGAUAAGUGCUGACCGGGAUGAGUUGACCGAAUCCUCAUCUUCAUCCAAGUACAGUUUCUGACCGAAUUCAAUUAGAGUAUCUUCCCAGAACUUUAUUUCUUCGGCAUCUGGCUCGUUCCCGGC
This is a long non-coding RNA of Helicoverpa zea (corn earworm), 928 nucleotides long. RefSeq lists it as uncharacterized. The record is from RefSeq and is a predicted model, not a curated record. The transcript is spliced from 2 exons. NCBI's taxonomy places the organism in Eukaryota, Metazoa, Arthropoda, Insecta, Lepidoptera, Noctuidae.